CUUGCCCAAUAUAAUGCUGUACUCCAUUAGAAUGCAAAUCUAAAUGGUGACUUAUGCUGUCUUCCUUUUAGUGAUUGUGAUUUAUGGCAAAAGUUACCACUUAAAUGGCAGAGGAUGCGGCCAAAUUUAGGAAACUCUCCUUUGUGGAGGGAGAAAGUCACCACACCACCAUAGUUUGAGUUAAAGUGGUAUGUGAUUCCAUUUUUAUUUUUUGAUCAUGUUUCUGUUGCCAGGAUGCAUAUGCUAUUAUUCUUUUUUAAUUCUUUCACAAGUUAUUCUCACAAUAUUCUUUAAUUCAUAGUGAAACUAGUCUUUAGGAAGUAACAUAAAAUCCGACCAUAUAAAAUAUUCC
Molecule: long non-coding RNA, 352 nt
Filed under: Glycine max (soybean)
Lineage: Eukaryota; Viridiplantae; Streptophyta; Magnoliopsida; Fabales; Fabaceae
Description: long non-coding RNA (GMAX_LNC003869)
Source: RNAcentral